AGCUCCAGCAGCGUAUAUUAAAGUUGUUGCAGUUAAAAAGCUCGUAGUUGGAUCUCGGACUGUCGGCGGCGGUACGGGCGCUUCGCCCGACAACUGCCGCCCGGCGUUCAAUCGGCGGGACGCAGCGGGUGCCCUUAGCUGGGUCGCUCGCCGCACCUGCCCCGUUUACUUUGGAAAAAUUAGAGUGUUCAAAGCAGGCUGUCACGCCUGAAUACAGUUGCAUGGAAUAAUGGAAUAGGGCCACGCUCUAUUUUGUUGGUUCACGGAGCUCGGCAAUGAUUGAGAGGGACUGCCGGGGGCAUUCGUAUGGCGGCGCGAGAGGUGAAAUUCUAAGACCGUCGCCAGACGAACUACUGCGAAAGCAUUUGCCAAGAAUGUUUUCAUUAAUCAAGAACGAAAG
RNAcentral lists this ribosomal RNA (400 nucleotides) under phytoplankton environmental sample. RNAcentral's name for it is "partial small subunit ribosomal RNA". It matches the Rfam family "Eukaryotic small subunit ribosomal RNA", at positions 587 to 989 of the family's 1831-position model. The record is from RNAcentral.